RNAcentral lists this transfer RNA (89 nucleotides) under Thermotogota bacterium ADurb.Bin062. RNAcentral describes it as "Thermotogae bacterium ADurb.Bin062 tRNA-Leu". It matches the Rfam family "tRNA". Rfam says of the family: Transfer RNA (tRNA) molecules are approximately 80 nucleotides in length. Their secondary structure includes four short double-helical elements and three loops (D, anti-codon, and T loops). Lineage: Bacteria; Thermotogati; Thermotogota. The record is from RNAcentral. RNAcentral also lists the same sequence under 2 other names.
GCCGAGGUGGCGGAAUCGGCAGACGCAACGGACUUAAAAUCCGUUGAGGCGUAAGCCUCGUGCGGGUUCAAUUCCCGCCCUCGGCACCA